GAUGAACGCUGGCGGCGUGCCUAAUACAUGCAAGUAGAACGCUGAAGGAGGAUCUUGCUCUUCUGGAUGAGUUGCGAACGGGUGAGUAACGCGUAGGUAACCUGCCUGGUAGCGGGGGAUAACUAUUGGAAACGAUAGCUAAUACCGCAUGACAACAGUUAUUGCAUGAUAACUGUUUAAAAGGGGCAACUGCUCCACUACCAGAUGGACCUGCGUUGUAUUAGCUAGUUGGUGAGGUAACGGCUCACCAAGGCGACGAUACAUAGCCGACCUGAGAGGGUGAUCGGCCACACUGGGACUGAGACACGGCCCAGACUCCUACGGGAGGCAGCAGUAGGGAAUCUUCGGCAAUGGACGGAAGUCUGACCGAGCAACGCCGCGUGAGUGAAGAAGGUUUUCGGAUCGUAAAGCUCUGUUGUAAGAGAAGAACGAGUGUGAGAGUGGAAAGUUCACACUGUGACGGUAUCUUAACAGAAAGGGACGGCUAACUACGUG
Molecule: ribosomal RNA, 495 nt
Filed under: uncultured bacterium
Lineage: Bacteria
Description: partial 16S ribosomal RNA
Rfam family: Bacterial small subunit ribosomal RNA
Source: RNAcentral